RNAcentral lists this ribosomal RNA (115 nucleotides) under uncultured bacterium. Its description in RNAcentral is "partial 16S ribosomal RNA". It matches the Rfam family "Bacterial small subunit ribosomal RNA", at positions 1369 to 1482 of the family's 1533-position model. The record is from RNAcentral.
CGUUCCCGGGCCUUGUACACACCGCCCGUCAAGUCAUGAAAGUCGGUAACACCCGAAGCCGGUGGCCUAACCCUUGUGGAAGGAGCCGUCGAAGGUGGGAUCGGUGAUUAGGACU